RNAcentral lists this long non-coding RNA (1623 nucleotides) under Malus domestica (apple). RNAcentral describes it as "long non-coding RNA (MDOM_LNC002268)". Lineage: Eukaryota; Viridiplantae; Streptophyta; Magnoliopsida; Rosales; Rosaceae. The record is from RNAcentral.
GUACAGGUCGCAUUAGGCAACUCCAACUCGUAAGUAACCACGAUUAUCACCAGUCUUCACAUGAUCGUAGCACUAGAGUGUAUAGUAUGAUUACACCCAGUCCUGUUGUAUAGGUCGCAUUAGGCAACUCCGACUCAUGUGUUAGCAUAGAUUGAUGAGCAAUAGAUGCAGUUGUAUAGGUCGCAUUAGACGACUUCGACUGCCGUGCUAGCAUAGGUUGUUGAGCACCUAAUUUUACUUAUAUUACUAUUGAGAUUUUGUGAUUUUGGGAUGUCAUGCCUUAUUUACGUUUUGCAGGCUAUGAUAAGUAUUUUCAUACUAUAUGUAGUAUGUACAGUUUGGAAACUAUACAUGUUUUAUGGCGAGGGGUUAUAACGUUUUCAAAGGUUUUUAUUAAAACUUUAUUUUCAGGCCCACUCACCCUUAUUUUUUGUCCCUCUAGGUUUUAGCUGCUGAACUUUUGUAUCGAUGAAGAUUAUUGGCAAAUCUCAGUAUAGGUUGGUAUCUUUGAAGGUAUAAUCCUUAUCUUACCUUACUGUACUUUACCAUCAUGUAUGAAAUUGGUUCAUUCCCGCUCACGAUGCACUCUUGUAUUUAGGAACUUUUAGGUUUAAAUUUAUUCACAUUUCCACAUCACUACACUUUAUGGCUUUGUCACCCUCCAGGUGUCGGCCAGCACAGCUCGAUUCGGAGUACAGGGGGACGUUCCGGUUUGGGGUGUGUCAUUGCACACAGCUUUACUUCUUUGUCGUUCGAUUCAUUGCCCUAACCAAUAAUUGCAGUUUUUACAAGCUUAAAAGUCAAGCUAUUUGCAGGUAUAUACUUCAAUAAAAAUAAAUAAUUGCUUUUGUAUUCUCUUUCUCAGAUGUUUAUGUGCUAGUUUAGUUUUCAAUUCUAUUUUCCUCUCCUCACUAGAAUAUGUUACAUAAUUUUAUUUAGUCUUAAACUAUUUUUGAAAAUAAAUCCAUAUGUUCUGUGGAUGUGUAACACAAAAUUUUGAUGUGUAAAUAAAAAUUCUUAUGUUGUGAUGUAGUGUUUGGACAACGUUCUAUUCAUGCGUAUACUGUGUUAUAUCUCUUUUAAUUUUCUUCUUGAAAAAUUAGUACAUGUCUCAGUUAGUGAUUUAUCAAUUUCCACCUGUGUCUACCAAUGUCUUAAUAAUGUAUUAUUAUAAUAAACAUGUUAUGAAGGCUGUAUUCAUUUUAGGAAGGUUAAUUUUCACACUCCCUUUUUUUUUUUGUUAAACAUCAUUUAUUAUCGCACACAACAUCCAUCCAAUGUAGACAAGACUUAAUCCUAUACGUUUAAAUUUACCCUUUUUUUCCAAACAUCUGAGAAACUAUUUACAGUGUGUGGUGAUACAUCUUUUUUGGCACACCCCGACCGAGAUCAAGGCAUGCUGGCCAUCACGUGAGAGUGACGUAGCCAUGUGCACAGUGCGAAAGCGAUAAUGAUAAGAAUUAUACGAAUAAUUAAAAACCAAAUUACUAGAGUGCACUACUAACAGAAAGUGAUAUGAGUUAGUUACAACAGUGAACACUCCUAAUCAGAGCAUAAUUUCUAGGUGCAGUCCAGUAGGACAAGUACUAGUUAUACAGUACCAGAAAUGUCCUACUAUUAUUU